Molecule: transfer RNA, 76 nt
Filed under: Alphaproteobacteria bacterium
Lineage: Bacteria; Pseudomonadati; Pseudomonadota; Alphaproteobacteria
Description: tRNA-Ala
Rfam family: tRNA
About the family: Transfer RNA (tRNA) molecules are approximately 80 nucleotides in length. Their secondary structure includes four short double-helical elements and three loops (D, anti-codon, and T loops). Further hydrogen bonds mediate the characteristic L-shaped molecular structure. tRNAs have two regions of fundamental functional importance: the anti-codon, which is responsible for specific mRNA codon recognition, and the 3' end, to which the tRNAs corresponding amino acid is attached (by aminoacyl-tRNA synthetases). tRNAs cope with the degeneracy of the genetic code in two manners: having more than one tRNA (with a specific anti-codon) for a particular amino acid; and 'wobble' base-pairing, i.e. permitting non-standard base-pairing at the 3rd anti-codon position.
Source: RNAcentral
GGGGUUGUAGCUCAGUUGGUAGAGCACUUGUAUGGCAUGCAAGGGGUCGUCGGUUCGAGUCCGAUCAGCUCCACCA